RNAcentral lists this long non-coding RNA (466 nucleotides) under Homo sapiens (human). Its description in RNAcentral is "non-protein coding LINC02250:5". The record is from RNAcentral. Lineage: Eukaryota; Metazoa; Chordata; Mammalia; Primates; Hominidae.
GAACACCAAGGGCAUGGCAGCAGCAUCUGGUGGGGUUCUGUGCUACAUUACCCCAUGGUGGAAGGGCAGAGGGCAGAGGGCAGAAGAGGAAAGGCAGAAGAGAAAGACAGCAUGGGAGACAGCAAGAAAAUGGAGGCCAAAACUUAUCCUUUUAUCAGGAAUCCACUCCCACACAUGUUUGUAAACAAUGCCAUCAGGAAUAAAAGUGUUUGAAGCUGAAGCUGGGUCUUCCAUCCAAAUGUGGAAAGCGUGCCAGAGGACUGUCUUUCCCAUUCCCGCCCCACCUGCACAGCCAUAGACAAAGCUCAGCUCCGGGAUAAGGUAAAUGUCAAGAGCCACACAGCAGCAUGCCUUCCCUUCAAGACAGAACAAAGGGUGGUUUUCUUGGCCAACCUACUGCACAGGAGGAAGCCAAGCAACACCAUUGAUUUAAGCCCCAAGGAAAACCUAAAAUCUUUGGCCACUU